Molecule: unclassified non-coding RNA, 420 nt
Filed under: rhizosphere metagenome
Description: partial ribosomal RNA internal transcribed spacer region
Source: RNAcentral
GUAGGUGAACCUGCGGAGGGAUCAUUAACACGUUUUCAAUAACGUAUACAAACCCAAACACCGUGAACUAGAAACAACUCCCUUCACAGAAGACGAAUGAGAAAGCCAGGGUGGAUUGUAGAACAAGUAAAAUCAUCUUCGGAUGACGUAGCCUCUACAUUGCUUAUCAUUCUAGGGUCCUUGAGACUCAAUCUGAUGUGAAGUGUCUUUGCGACCACCUGGCAGACUGUAUUUCAGUCUUCUUCGGGGGAUUGAUCUAAACAGCGUCUGUCGAAUCUGUUUAACAAAACUUUUAACCCCUUUAACAACAUAUUAAUAACUGAACCUUUUUUUUAUUGUCUUUCUCGCUUAAUUGCGAUGAGGCAUAAAAAAGAUAUACGUAAUGCUGAACAACUCUUAGCAAUGGAUAUCUUAGUUCUC